This 1157-nucleotide long non-coding RNA is filed under the name Toxoplasma gondii VEG. The record is from RNAcentral. Lineage: Eukaryota; Apicomplexa; Conoidasida; Eucoccidiorida; Sarcocystidae.
GUUUGCGGCGAACUGGAGUCUCUGCCGCAGGCAUACGCGUGACAGGCAUAUGUUGUCGAUGUGCUGUAUGUCGACGAAGUACCGGUUCCCUAAUUCUUCUGCUUUUCAUGUGUCUUGGGAGGGCCAAACCCCCGUAACGACCGGGACUGAGAUGCGGUUGCGUGUUUUCUCAAUUCCUCCAUCCCAGCUACCUCAUUGUGCGAGAUACCAUGUUCGUCCCGAACGCGUCUGAAGAAGUUUUACGCGGAACAUCUUAAAAUCGUAUAAGGAGCACCUCGUGGCCAAGCGUCUCUGAUGCCUAACGUCGUAGUUGUUCAAUACGGCAGCUUUUCUAUGCAGCGUAUGCGAGACGAGGUCCAUCGUCUCCGUGUAAUUCGGCGUCCCGCGGGCUCGCCGACAUUCCUUCAGCUGUAGUAACGUCGGGUUGCGAUACUUCACCGACCAAUGUGGACCUGCCGACUUCUGCCGUGAUUGGUUUCAGCAGGGCCGGUGAAUCCUGUACAGUGUGACUGGUACUUCGCUGACGUUCCACCAUCCCGCUGGCGUGAUCAGCGGGGCUACCCUCCAGCCUGUCGUGAUCUACUAUUUCUUCGUCAGAGUUAUCCUCCACAGAAGAAGACCUGUCAAAAUGCAGAUGGGAGUUCACUUCCUUAAGGACCAAUCUCGAGCGCUCGAACGCCGGCAUCGGCCCCUGCGUCGCCGGUGGCUCAUUGAUCGCGUCGCCAGCAUGAGAUUGCAGCUCACCCUGGUGGAGAGGCCAUCCAAAGAGACAAAAAAAAACUUUUUUUUGCCUCUGAUAAUUUCAUGACCAGCUUGAGUGCUUGUCUUUCAACAAAGACACACAUACACCGCAAAAGUCUCUCGGACACGGUAUUCCUUGAGUGUACCCUAACAGUAUUUCCCCGUGAUUACCUUGGGACAUCUUCAGUGGAGAGAGACCAUGGAGUAUCACUUGUUCAACUUACGGUGUGGCAUUUUGCGUCUUGCUCGCUAUUUUCACAAGAUGGAAAGGCAUAAGCUACAAUCCUGAUCAGGCCGUAUCGAUGCUUCAGAUAGCCACGUUUACUGGGUAACGAUUGUGAAUCACAGACGUAUUUUAGUGAGUGUGAAGAUGCCAGCUUUCUUGCAGCUGGAAUGCGGAGAUAUUUGGGACCACG